RNAcentral lists this ribosomal RNA (327 nucleotides) under unidentified. RNAcentral's name for it is "Proceroplatus sp. 1 NB-2020 partial 12S ribosomal RNA". The record is from RNAcentral.
UAAAAAUGUAAUAAAAAAAAUUAGAGUAGUAAUAGAUAUGAUCUUUAAACUUAAAAAAUUUGGCGGUAUUUUAAUCUAUUCAGAGGAACUUGUUUUAUAAUUGAUAAUCCUCAUUGUAUCUUACUUAAAUUUGUUUAAUUUGUAUACCGUUGUCAUAAGAAUAUCUUUAGAGGGAAAAAAUAUUCUAAUAUAAAAAAUAUUUUUAAUGUCAGAUCAAGGUGCAGUUUAUAUUUAAGAAAAAAUGAGUUACAAUUAAAAAAAUUAAUAUGAAUUAAAAAUUUAAAGGUUUUUAUGAAGGUGGAUUUGAUAGUAAAUUUUUAGAGAUUG